AGAGUUUGAUCAUGGCUCAGGACGAACGCUGGCGGCGUGCCUAAUACAUGCAAGUCGAGCGGAUUUAUCCUUCGGGAUAAGUUAGCGGCGGACGGGUGAGUAACACGUAGGUAACCUGCCUAUAAGAUCGGGAUAACUAUCGGAAACGAUAGCUAAGACCGGAUAACUGGUUUUCUCGCAUGAGAGAAUCAUGAAACACGGAGCAAUCUGUGGCUUAUAGAUGGGCCUGCGGCGCAUUAGCUAGUUGGUGAGGUAACGGCUCACCAAGGCGACGAUGCGUAGCCGACCUGAGAGGGUGAACGGCCACACUGGGACUGAGACACGGCCCAGACUCCUACGGGAGGCAGCAGUAGGGAAUCUUCCGCAAUGGACGCAAGUCUGACGGAGCAACGCCGCGUGAGUGAUGAAGGUUUUCGGAUCGUAAAGCUCUGUUGCCCUAGACGAACAGCAAGGAGAGUAACUGCUCUUUGUGUGACGGUAUAGGAGAAGAAAGCCCCGGCUAACUACGUGCCAGCAGCCGCGGUAAUACGUAGGGGGCAAGCGUUGUCCGGAAUUAUUGGGCGUAAAGCGCGCGCAGGCGGUCAAUUAAGUUGGGUGUUUAAGCCCGGGGCUCAACCCCGGUUCGCAUCCAAAACUGGUUGACUUGAGUGUAGGAGAGGAAAGUGGAAUUCCACGUGUAGCGGUGAAAUGCGUAGAGAUGUGGAGGAACACCAGUGGCGAAGGCGACUUUCUGGCCUAUAACUGACGCUGAGGCGCGAAAGCGUGGGGAGCAAACAGGAUUAGAUACCCUGGUAGUCCACGCCGUAAACGAUGCAUACUAGGUGUUGGGGAUUCGAUUCCUCGGUGCCGAAGUUAACACAGUAAGUAUGCCGCCUGGGGAGUACGCUCGCAAGAGUGAAACUCAAAGGAAUUGACGG
RNAcentral lists this ribosomal RNA (917 nucleotides) under uncultured bacterium. RNAcentral describes it as "bacterial SSU rRNA". It matches the Rfam family "Bacterial small subunit ribosomal RNA", at positions 8 to 916 of the family's 1533-position model. The record is from RNAcentral.